Molecule: ribosomal RNA, 1374 nt
Filed under: Rhodotorula mucilaginosa
Lineage: Eukaryota; Fungi; Basidiomycota; Microbotryomycetes; Sporidiobolales; Sporidiobolaceae
Description: SSU rRNA
Rfam family: Eukaryotic small subunit ribosomal RNA
Source: RNAcentral
CUAAGGUUUAGGCAAUAAACAGUGAAACUGCGAAUGGCUCAUUAAAUCAGUCAUAGUUUAUUUGAUGGUACCUUACUACAUGGAUAACUGUGGUAAUUCUAGAGCUAAUACAUGCUGAAAAAUCCCGACUUCUGGAAGGGAUGUAUUUAUUAGAUCCAAAACCAAUGGCCUUCGGGUCCCUAUGGUGAAUCAUGAUAACUGCUCGAAUCGCAUGGCCUUGCGCCGGCGAUGCUUCAUUCAAAUAUCUGCCCUAUCAACUUUCGAUGGUAGGAUAGAGGCCUACCAUGGUGAUGACGGGUAACGGGGAAUAAGGGUUCGAUUCCGGAGAGAGGGCCUGAGAAACGGCCCUCAGGUCUAAGGACACGCAGCAGGCGCGCAAAUUAUCCCCUGGCAACACUUUGCCGAGAUAGUGACAAUAAAUAACAAUGCAGGGCUCUUACGGGUCUUGCAAUUGGAAUGAGUACAAUUUAAAUCCCUUAACGAGGAUCAAUUGGAGGGCAAGUCUGGUGCCAGCAGCCGCGGUAAUUCCAGCUCCAAUAGCGUAUAUUAAAAUUGUUGCCGUUAAAAAGCUCGUAGUCGAACUUCGGGCUCUGUCAGCCGGUCCGCCUUCUUGGUGUGUACUUGUUUGACGGAGCCUUACCUCCUGGUGAACGGCGAUGUCCUUUACUGGGUGUCGUCGCAAACCAGGACUUUUACUUUGAAAAAAUUAGAGUGUUCAAAGCAGGCCUUUGCCCGAAUACAUUAGCAUGGAAUAAUAAAAUAGGACGCGCGUUCCCAUUUUGUUGGUUUCUGAGAUCGCCGUAAUGAUUAAUAGGGAUAGUUGGGGGCAUUUGUAUUCCGUCGUCAGAGGUGAAAUUCUUGGAUUGCCGGAAGACAAACUACUGCGAAAGCAUUUGCCAAGGAUGUUUUCAUUGAUCAAGAACGAAGGAAGGGGGAUCGAAAACGAUUAGAUACCGUUGUAGUCUCUUCUGUAAACUAUGCCAAUUGGGGAUCGGUACAGGAUUUUUAAUGACUGUAUCGGCACCCGAAGAGAAAUCUUUAAAUGAGGUUCGGGGGGGAGUAUGGUCGCAAGGCUGAAACUUAAAGGAAUUGACGGAAGGGCACCACCAGGUGUGGAGCCUGCGGCUUAAUUUGACUCAACACGGGGAAACUCACCAGGUCCAGACACAAUAAGGAUUGACAGAUUGAUAGCUCUUUCUUGAUCUUGUGGUUGGUGGUGCAUGGCCGUUCUUAGUUGGUGGAGUGAUUUGUCUGGUUAAUUCCGAUAACGAACGAGACCUUAACCUGCUAAAUAGACCAGCCGGCUUUGGCUAGCUGCUGUCUUCUUAGAGGGACUAUCAGCGUUUAGCUGAUGGAAGUUUGAGGCAAUAACAG